This 253-nucleotide ribosomal RNA is filed under the name uncultured bacterium. RNAcentral's name for it is "partial 16S ribosomal RNA". It matches the Rfam family "Bacterial small subunit ribosomal RNA", at positions 524 to 776 of the family's 1533-position model. The record is from RNAcentral.
UACGUAGGGUGCAAGCGUUAAUCGGAAUUAUUGGGCGUAAAGCGCGCGCAGGCGGUCCUUUAAGUCUGAUGUGAAAGCCCACGGCUCAACCGUGGAGGGUCAUUGGAAACUGGGGGACUUGAGUGCAGGAGAGAAGAGUGGAAUUCCACGUGUAGCGGUGAAAUGCGUAGAGAUGUGGAGGAACACCAGUGGCGAAGGCGGCUCACUGGCUCGAUACUGACGCUGAGGUGCGAAAGCGUGGGGAGCAAACAGG